CCUACGGGAGGCAGCAGUGGGGGAUAUUGCACAAUGGGGGGAACCCUGAUGCAGCGACGCCGCGUGGGUGAAGGAGUGCUUCGGCAUGUAAAGCCCUAUCGGCAGGGAAGAGGCAAGACGGUACCUGACUAAGAAACCCCGGCUAACUACGGUCCAGCAGCCGCGGUAAUACGUAGGGGGCGAGCGUUAUCCGGAUUCACUGGGUGUAAAGGGAGGGUCGACGGCCAUGCAAGCCAGGGGUGAAAGCCCGGGGCCGAACCCCGGGACUGCCCUUGGAACUGUGGGGCUAGAGUGCGGGAGGGGCAGGCGGAAUUCCUGGUGUAGCGGUGAAAUGCGUAGAUAUAAGGAGGAACACCGGCGGCGAAGGCGGACGGCUGGACUGCGACUGACGGUGAGGCUCGAAAGCGUGGGGAGCGAACAGGAUUAGAUACCCCAGUAGUC
RNAcentral lists this ribosomal RNA (441 nucleotides) under uncultured bacterium. Its description in RNAcentral is "partial 16S ribosomal RNA". It matches the Rfam family "Bacterial small subunit ribosomal RNA", at positions 338 to 795 of the family's 1533-position model. The record is from RNAcentral.